AUACGUAGGUGGCAAGCGUUAUCCGGAUUUACUGGGUGUAAAGGGCGUGUAGGCGGGAUUACAAGUCAGAUGUGAAAACCAUGGGCUCAACCCAUAGCCUGCAUUUGAAACUGUAGUUCUUGAGUGAUGGAGAGGCAGACGGAAUUCCUCGUGUAGCGGUGAAAUGCGUAGAUAUGAGGAGGAACACCAGUGGCGAAGGCGGUCUGCUGGACAUUAACUGACGCUGAGGCGCGAAAGCGUGGGGAGCAAACAGGAUUAGAUACCCUGGUAGUCCACGCUGUAAACGAUGGAUACUAGGUGUGGGGGGACUGACCCCCUCCGUGCCGGAGUUAACACAAUAAGUAUCCCACCUGGGGAGUACGAUCGCAAGGUUGAAACUUAAAGGAAUUGACGGGG
This 396-nucleotide ribosomal RNA is filed under the name uncultured bacterium. RNAcentral describes it as "partial 16S ribosomal RNA". It matches the Rfam family "Bacterial small subunit ribosomal RNA", at positions 523 to 918 of the family's 1533-position model. The record is from RNAcentral.